AACGAACGCUGGCGGCAGGCUUAACACAUGCAAGUCGAGCGCCCCGCAAGGGGAGCGGCAGACGGGUGAGUAACGCGUGGGAACGUACCUUUUGGUUCGGAACAACUCCGGGAAACUGGAGCUAAUACCGGAUAAGCCCUAACGGGGAAAGAUUUAUCGCCGAAAGAUCGGCCCGCGUCCGAUUAGCUAGUUGGUGAGGUAACGGCUCACCAAGGCGACGAUCAGUAGCUGGUCUGAGAGGAUGAUCAGCCACACUGGGACUGAGACACGGCCCAGACUCCUACGGGAGGCAGCAGUGGGGAAUAUUGGACAAUGGGCGCAAGCCUGAUCCAGCCAUGCCGCGUGAGUGAUGAAGGCCUUAGGGUUGUAAAGCUCUUUUGUCCGGGAAGAUAAUGACUGUACCGGAAGAAUAAGCCCCGGCUAACUUCGUG
RNAcentral lists this ribosomal RNA (431 nucleotides) under uncultured bacterium. Its description in RNAcentral is "partial 16S ribosomal RNA". It matches the Rfam family "Bacterial small subunit ribosomal RNA", at positions 29 to 507 of the family's 1533-position model. The record is from RNAcentral.